This 253-nucleotide ribosomal RNA is filed under the name uncultured bacterium. Its description in RNAcentral is "partial 16S ribosomal RNA". It matches the Rfam family "Bacterial small subunit ribosomal RNA", at positions 524 to 776 of the family's 1533-position model. The record is from RNAcentral.
UACGGAGGGUGCGAGCGUUGUCCGGAAUCACUGGGCGUAAAGGGCGCGUAGGCGGCCCGGUAAGUAGGAGGUGAAAUCUUGCGGCUUAACCGCAAGGCUGCCUUCUAGACUGCCAGGCUCGAGCACAGUAGAGGCAGGUGGAAUUCCCGGUGUAGCGGUGGAAUGCGUAGAGAUCGGGAAGAACAUCAGUGGCGAAGGCGGCCUGCUGGACUGUAGCUGACGCUGAGGCGCGACAGCGUGGGGAGCAGACAGG